UACGUAGGUGGCGAGCGUUGUCCGGAUUUACUGGGCGUAAAGCGCGCGCAGGCGGCAGUCUAAGUCCUCUGUGAAAUCACCCGGCUCAACUGGGUGGCUGCGGAGGAGACUGGGCAGCUUGAGGGGCCUAGAGGCCGGUGGAACUCCCGGUGUAGUGGUGAAAUGCGUAGAGAUCGGGAAGAACACCAGUGGCGAAGGCGGCCGGCUGGGGGCGCCCUGACAUUGAGGCACGAAAGCGUGGGGAGCAAAACGG
RNAcentral lists this ribosomal RNA (253 nucleotides) under uncultured bacterium. Its description in RNAcentral is "partial 16S ribosomal RNA". It matches the Rfam family "Bacterial small subunit ribosomal RNA", at positions 524 to 776 of the family's 1533-position model. The record is from RNAcentral.